GCUGCCUGCCCUGCUGCCCUCUCUGUCUCAAGUUUCAACAACCCACAAGUUUUAUCUCUCUUUCUCUCAACAAAUCGAUUUCUCACUCUCGACAAAAUCCGUUCUCUGUCUCUCAAGGCGGCCAACCUUCCGACGGAGAAUCCGACGAUAUCCAAACAAAUCUAAGAAACCCACGACGGCGAUUCCAACCUUCCGAUUGAAGGAUUUGGAUUUUGGAUCUGGAAACUGUUGCAAAAUAAGCUCAGUUGGUAGAGCGGAGGACUGUAGUCGUUUGCAGCUUAAUCCUUAGGUCGCUGGUUCGAAUCCGGCAGGAAGGGAAAUUAUCGAUCCAAUUCCACUCCUCCUAGACAGCACUGUUCAUCGGCUACUACGUUGCGCACUGUUAAUUUCUCUUCUCAUCCACGGGCCCAAAUAAAUUUAAGUUAGGUCAGAAUCUGUGUUGUUCGAUACACGAAUUGUUUCAAAGGAAUCGGAUUCCAGCACCCGGCUUUCAUAGUCUCGCCAAUUGCCACCUCCGCCGGCGUCGGACGCAGGGAGCUUGAUCUUUGCUCUACAUAAAAUGGCAAACACUUUGCGCUUGUAUUUGACGUGCAUACGGAACACUCUUGAGGCUGCGAUGUGCCUUCAGAAUUUUCCUUGUCAAGAAGUUGAAAGACAUAACAAGCCAGAGGUUGAACUAAAGACCAGCCCGGAACUUCUUCUCAAUCCUAUCUCAAUAUGUAGAAAUGAAUCAGAGAAGUGUUUGAUUGAGACAUCUAUAAACUCACUUCGCAUAAGUCUCAAGGUUAAGCAGACAGAUGAACUGGAGAACAUUUUAACUAAGAAGUUCCUUCGAUUUUUGUCAAUGCGGGCAGAAGCUUUUAAGGUUCUGAGACGAAAACCCGUACAGGGAUAUGAUAUUAGCUUUCUCAUCACAAACUAUCACUGUGAGGAGUUGCAGAAGCAGAGACUCAUUGAUUUCAUUGUACAAUUCAUGGAGGAUAUUGAUAAAGAGAUCAGUGAACUUAAAAUGUCCGUGAACACUCGAGGAAGGCUCGUAGCAUCAGAGUUUCUAAAGCAAUUCACUUGACGUCUCUAGUAUAAUACUAGUAUCUUGUUCCAUCAUCGGAAACUGGGAUUCAAAUCACGAUCUGAAUCAUUUUCCCUUCAUUUCGUUCUGAAUCGAAUCGCGUAUCGUACGUUUUGCCUUCGUUUUGUUCUGGAUCGAAUCGCGUAUGGCAAAUUUCAGAGUUAUUGAUUGAACUGAAGUUAGUUAUAUAAAGAAUCCUUCAUUCUGGAAAUCAAAGAGAAAAAGCAUGUCUAGCAGGCGAGUAAGUUUGAAGAUUGUGAUAGACAUGACUGAGAAGCAGAUUCUAUACCGGUGAAGCCGACAAGAAAUUCAUAGACUUCCUCUUCACCAUACUUUCUCUCCCUAUGGGAACUGUGGCUGAGUUGGUCGCCUACGGCCCACCCGACUUUGGCAUGGAUCACGUAAUAUCGUCCCUCGCAAACCUCUACCACAGCGUACACACCUUAAACACCGACUAUUUCGAAUCAAACACAGCCUCCUAUACCCCAUCCUUCCAUCCAGUACCACCAAAUCCCAGCUUGGAAACCUCUUGAAAAUCAAAUAUUCUUCUUCUCCACACACCAGCUAUUAUACAUGUUCUACUCCCAGCUCUCACUCUAGCUUUACCUCUACAUGUGCUGCAUUGUGUCCCAAAUGCUCCGAAUCCAUGAAGCAAGACCUAUGUCAAAGAAGUUCAUGGUCAUGGACGAUGAUCUUACUGUCAUUCCCAUCUCCUCCUCCUCCGCCCCCCUCUUGGAUAAGUUGCGUGCGGACAGAGCUGGCCACAUUCAAGAGAAGCUUGUUUAUUUGGACAUGGAAUUAGGACUCAGGUUGUACUCACGCACUUGUGCUCACUAAUGUGUUUUUUCCCAAGUUUUUCAGAUUUCCAACACAAUCUGUUCUGCAGGAAGGGGUUGCGAUGAAUUGUUGGCAAAGAUUUAAGAUCAACGUCUUUCUGCAGAAAGAAGGAACAAGAAAUCAAAGAUUAAAGAUGAACAUCUUUCAAACAAGGAGGCUAAGAUUAAAGAUGAAGAACUUCUUGUUAUCGACUAAACGCUAAUGAUUUAUCUUGGACCCCGGUCGUGCUUCUGGUUUCCAUUCCCAUCAUCAUAUUGAUGAUAAAUCUCCUCGUGCUCCGCCAUAAGAACUUGGAGUCCGUAUCAUGGUGAAGGUAAGGUAACGCUGUGAUUCUUGCUCAAAAAACAGACCGAAGGCGUUCGAGUUAUUGGCUCGUCCAACCCGGCAGCAUUCAUGAGUCGCUCGUUCAACUGUCCCUCGGAGACACGGUCGAGAAGUACCAUGCAUGGUUGCCCCCCGUCCUUUCUUUCUCUUGGUCCCACCCAGCAAGAUACGGGUCAGCCAAAAAAAAAAGGUGAGCGCCCCUUCCCUAAUGAUCGAGUCUUAGACGAGGUUCGAUAAUUAUUUCAUUUUUUAAUUUUUGUUUUUAAAAAUUGAGUCAAAAAACACUACUUUUUGACUACACCAGGAGUGAUGGACCAUAUAUCACUGAUAGAUUAAACCGUAGAUUAUAAAAUAAUUCAUUAAAGUAACAAUUUAGUUCAUAAACUUUAGUUUGUAACGAUU
Molecule: RNA transcript, 2632 nt
Organism: Momordica charantia (bitter melon)
Lineage: Eukaryota; Viridiplantae; Streptophyta; Magnoliopsida; Cucurbitales; Cucurbitaceae
Gene name: actin-related protein 2/3 complex subunit 4
Source: RefSeq, a predicted model, not a curated record